Molecule: non-coding RNA, 24 nt
Filed under: Arabidopsis thaliana (thale cress)
Lineage: Eukaryota; Viridiplantae; Streptophyta; Magnoliopsida; Brassicales; Brassicaceae
Source: RNAcentral
AGAAAACAUAACGACGAUGAUUCC